Myodes glareolus (Bank vole) is the source of this 289-nucleotide non-coding RNA. The record is from RefSeq and is a predicted model, not a curated record. NCBI's taxonomy places the organism in Eukaryota, Metazoa, Chordata, Mammalia, Rodentia, Cricetidae.
GAUGUAGUUGAGGAGUAGAGUGUUUGCCUAGCAUUCACAAGGUCCUGAGUUUAGGACAAAGCGCCACCAAAACUCCUCCGAAAACUCAGCAUCUGUUGGUUUCAGAUUCGGUGAACAGAUGGGAUUCUUGCCAUCGGAGGGUUGGAAGCUCAGUGGGAGAGGCAGGCAUCGAACAGGCUUUGACACAGUUUGUUCCAUCUGCCUGGAUCGCACCCUGUUUCCUGCAUUCAUUCACACUUGCCUUCCAGGCCAGAAGAGGGCACCAGACCUCAUUACAGAUGGUUGUGAG